Molecule: ribosomal RNA, 411 nt
Filed under: Parabathymyrus macrophthalmus
Lineage: Eukaryota; Metazoa; Chordata; Actinopteri; Anguilliformes; Congridae
Description: partial 16S ribosomal RNA
Rfam family: Bacterial large subunit ribosomal RNA
Source: RNAcentral
UAAUCACUUGUCUCUUAAAUGGAGACCUGUAUGAAUGGCAUCACGAGGGCUUACCUGUCUCCCCCUCCCAGUCAAUGAAAUUGACCUAUCCGUGCAGAGGCGGAUAUAAGAACAUAAGACGAGAAGACCCUAUGGAGCUUCAGGACGAGGGACAAACACGUAAAGAAACUAGAAUAAAGCAACGCAACAGAAAGAGAUUUGAACCUAGUGAUUAAUGGUCCCGAUCCUUAGGUUGGGGCGACCGUGGGGCAAAAAACAGCCCCCAUAUGGAAAGGAGAGCAUAUCUCUAAAACUAAGAAAAACAGUUCGAAGAAGCAGAACAUCUGACCACAAAUGACCCAGGAUAAACAAAACCUGAUCAUUGGACCAAGUUACCCUAGGGAUAACAGCGCAAUCCUCUCUUAGAGUCCA